AGGACGAACGCUGGCGGCGUGCUUAACACAUGCAAGUCGAGCGGAAAGGCCCUUCGGGGUACUCGAGCGGCGAACGGGUGAGUAACACGUGAGCAACCUGCCCUUAGCUCUGGGAUAGCUCCGGGAAACCGGAAUUAAUACCGGAUAUGACCUAGGCCGACAUCGGCCGUGGUGGAAAGUUUUUCGGCUAGGGAUGGACUCGCGGCCUAUCAGCUAGUUGGUGGGGUAAUGGCCUACCAAGGCGACGACGGGUAGCCGGCCUGAGAGGGCGACCGGCCACACUGGGACUGAGACACGGCCCAGACUCCUACGGGAGGCAGCAGUGGGAAUCUUGCGCAAUGGGCGAAAGCCUGACGCAGCGACGCCGCGUGGGGAUGAAGGCCUUCGGGUUCGUAACCCCUUCAGCAGGGACGAAGCGAAAGUGACGGUACCUGCAGAAGAAGCGCCGGCUAACUACGCGCCAGCAGCCGC
RNAcentral lists this ribosomal RNA (471 nucleotides) under uncultured bacterium. RNAcentral describes it as "SSU rRNA". It matches the Rfam family "Bacterial small subunit ribosomal RNA", at positions 26 to 518 of the family's 1533-position model. The record is from RNAcentral.